This is a long non-coding RNA of Heterocephalus glaber (naked mole-rat), 1786 nucleotides long. RefSeq lists it as uncharacterized. The record is from RefSeq and is a predicted model, not a curated record. NCBI's taxonomy places the organism in Eukaryota, Metazoa, Chordata, Mammalia, Rodentia, Bathyergidae.
UGAAGCACUGGACAACAUUUUAAAAAGUAGGCACUGAAUGAAAGAUAAUGGAAGGUGGAAACCCCAGCUUCCAAUGAUGACAUAAUAAUGCCCCCCUAGCUGACCUCUUUAAAACAGUUUCCCGACUUGUGGAAGUGGAAAAGCACUGGUGAGGGCAGUCUCUGAAAUCAUUUACUCCAGUGUACAAGUCAGCUCUCAGCGGUGAGAACACCAAGAAGAGAGACACGAUUAGUUCCGCAGUGGAAAAGAGAAUUUUUUAAAAAUCCUAAUUCUUCAAAUGUAGAAAUGGAACUAUUAAAUAUCCUGUAUUUAUCAGGGGGUAUUUUUGCAAUCAACUCAAACUAGAAUCAGGGAAAAUCAAAAGGAGAGGACUGUGUAUAUGCACAUGUUGGGGAUAGAGGUGAAAGUCCCUGAGAGACAGUUCUCCGGUUACGGGCUUUUCCUUUGUCCCUUAAAUCGGACAGACACUGUCCUAAACAAUGCCGCCAGGCCUGGAGCAGCGUGAAUUGCUGCCAGGGAGAUUAAAAAUAACCACCAAGGGCUGGCCCAGGAUGAUCUCGCUCAGGUCCUGGCCUCUCCUGCUCAGGUCCUGGCCUCUCCCAGGAGGCUGUGCGGCCGGCAGGAUGGAUCUUUAGCAUCUCCUACUCCUGGGCUGGCCUGUUCCUUGCCCUGGGUCCUCCCAAUGUGUUGAAUGCCUCAGCUGUCCAGAGGAGCACCACACCCAGGCCUGCCCUCCUCGGAAUGUGGCUGUGACCCGAGAGCAAUGUUUCUGCCCAUCUUUCUGUUUACUUCUCCUAAGCCUCGGUGACCUUAGCAGGAGGCUGAGGUGGGAGAACCACUUGAGCUCGUGAGUUUGACUGCAGCCUGGAGAACACGUACUGGAGAUUGAACCUACCCAGCGCUAGGCAGGCUCUGUGCCACUGAGCUACAUCCCUGACCCCUGCAACACACCCAUAUUUUAAAAAAUGGGCACAGGACUUGAACAGACAUUACUCCAAGUGGCAGGCGAAAACAGUAAGAGGUGGUUUGAUUCUUCCAUUUUGACUCUAGACCACAAACAAUAAAGACUUCCAAGUCUCCUUGGAUCCGUGUAACAGAAAAUUGUUCGAUGUGGUGGGCAGAAGGCCCGGAAGCUGUGGCUGGCCUGGGAGAGUGACUGGCCCGAGCUUCCCCUCCCGACCACCCUGCAGAAGAGAAGUCACCGUCCCUGCAUGGCAGAGCUGUGUUACUACCAAACACAAGUGCGAGGAAGGCUUUUUCUCUGCCAGGGUAACUGCACGGAGCCUUCACUUCUCCCUGCCGUGGACAGCCAGCCGGCCAGGCUCCUCGGAGCUCUCAGUUCGGCCUUGACCUUGGCCCCUGUCCUCGCUAACCGGGUGUGACCCAAGUUUUAGCAAGAAUCUGAUCGAGCUCCAUCUCUCCCCUGUUGUGAUGCUCCUAUUCCAAGAGCCCCAAAUAAAGUCAUCGUUAUUUAACAAGUGUCAAAUUAAUUUUUGAAUACAUUUCAGCAGGAAGCUUAGAGGUUUUAAAAUUUUUUUAGCAUUGCAGAAGCAACAGUUGGGGGAGUGGGUCAUAGUUACUGGCAUAGUAGCCAAUAAUCUAGCCAACCAUUGAACUGUGUUCUGGUAAAUGAAACCCAACAUUUGCUCACUAGAGCCAUGGCUACAUGACCUGCUCACAGCUGCAAUAUUUAAUGGUUGCAUCAGAGCUCUCCUGGGAGAAAGGAGAAGAAAUUAUCCAUGAAGACUCAAAAAUCAGGGUCUGGCCUAUGGAUUUAGCUCAGUGG